This 555-nucleotide long non-coding RNA is filed under the name Homo sapiens (human). RNAcentral's name for it is "HSALNT0225818". Lineage: Eukaryota; Metazoa; Chordata; Mammalia; Primates; Hominidae. The record is from RNAcentral.
AGUGAGGAGGGCGGGGUGCGCGAGUGAGGAGGGCGGGGUGCGCGAGCGAGGGCGUCCGGCCGGCAGGUGGCACUGUGGCGUCGCCGUGGGCCGAGCCUGGCGAAGCGCUGCUCGCCCGAGAUCGCGCAGCUUGAUCAAAUGAAAAGACGAGAAAACAGCUUCUAUCACCAUGACAGCCACCUGGACACACCUAUCUCUGUUGGCAAGGGGGAGCAUUUGGAAAAUGGAAGUGCUUGGUCCCCAACAGAUGCCUACUUGACACUUGCUGAUGGACAGCUUGUCAAUUUCAUCUAACAAACCGGAAUCACUGGGGCCAUCCAGGAAUCACAGCAGCUCAUGAAGAAAUUCCACAUGAACAGGGCUGUUAAAAGCCAACCCGCCAGAAAGGGUAGAACGGAGGAAGGACAAGAGGGUUCUAACACCUCCUGGAGGCAGAGCACCCACGGAAGUUUCUCAACACUUCUCGUUGAUUCAAGUGGAACACCUUGAAGAGAGGCCCUUCUGUUUCCCUACACGGUGGACAGCAGAGCUCUGAAAAUUAGAUGCUUCCCCAAA